This 351-nucleotide ribosomal RNA is filed under the name uncultured Sphingobacteriales bacterium. RNAcentral's name for it is "bacterial SSU rRNA". It matches the Rfam family "Bacterial small subunit ribosomal RNA", at positions 1030 to 1382 of the family's 1533-position model. The record is from RNAcentral. Lineage: Bacteria; Pseudomonadati; Bacteroidota; Sphingobacteriia; Sphingobacteriales.
UAUACAAGGUGCUGCAUGGUUGUCGUCAGCUCGUGCCGUGAGGUGUCGGGUUAAGUCCCAUAGCGAGCGCAACCCCUAUCAUUAGUUGCCAUCAGGUCAAGCUGGGGACGUCUAAAGGAACUGCCUACGCAAGAGUGAGGAAGCGGGGAUGACGUCAAAUCAGCAGGCCCUUACGUCCAGGGCUACACACGUGCUACAAUGGCCGAUACAGAGGGCAGCUACCUGGUGACAGGAUGCAAAUCUCCAAAGUCGGUCUCAGUUCGGAUCGGAGUCUGCAACCCGACUCCGUGAAGUUGGAUUCGCUAGUAAUCGCGCAUCAGCCAUGGCGCGGUGAAUACGUUCCCGGGCCUU